GACGAACGCUGGCGGCGUGCUUAACACAUGCAAGUCGAACGGAAAGGCCCUGCUUUUGUGGGGUGCUCGAGUGGCGAACGGGUGAGUAACACGUGAGUAACCUGCCCUUGACUUUGGGAUAACUUCAGGAAACUGGGGCUAAUACCGGAUAGGAGCUCCUGCUGCAUGGUGGGGGUUGGAAAGUUUCGGCGGUUGGGGAUGGACUCGCGGCUUAUCAGAUUGUUGGUGGGGUAGUGGCUUACCAAGGCUUUGACGGGUAGCCGGCCUGAGAGGGUGACCGGCCACAAUAGGACUGAGAUACGGCCCAGACUACUACGGGAGGCAACAGUGGGGAAUGUUGCACAAUGGGCGGAAGCCUGAUGCGGCAACGCCGCGUGCGGGAUGACGGCCUUCGGGUUGUAAACCGCUUUCGCCUGUGACGAAGCGUGAGUGACGGUAAUGGGUAAAGAAGCACCGGCUAACUACGUG
Molecule: ribosomal RNA, 468 nt
Filed under: uncultured bacterium
Lineage: Bacteria
Description: partial 16S ribosomal RNA
Rfam family: Bacterial small subunit ribosomal RNA
Source: RNAcentral